GCCACGGUGGUCUAGCGGUUAGAACGCUGGUCUUGUAAUCCGGGAGGGUCUCGGGUUCGAUUCCCGGCGGUGCCC
Molecule: transfer RNA, 75 nt
Filed under: Zootermopsis nevadensis
Lineage: Eukaryota; Metazoa; Arthropoda; Insecta; Blattodea; Termopsidae
Rfam family: tRNA
About the family: Transfer RNA (tRNA) molecules are approximately 80 nucleotides in length. Their secondary structure includes four short double-helical elements and three loops (D, anti-codon, and T loops).
Source: Rfam by way of RNAcentral